This 465-nucleotide ribosomal RNA is filed under the name Vreelandella stevensii. RNAcentral describes it as "partial 16S ribosomal RNA". It matches the Rfam family "Bacterial small subunit ribosomal RNA", at positions 338 to 795 of the family's 1533-position model. Lineage: Bacteria; Pseudomonadati; Pseudomonadota; Gammaproteobacteria; Oceanospirillales; Halomonadaceae. The record is from RNAcentral.
CCUACGGGGGGCUGCAGUGGGGAAUAUUGGACAAUGGGCGAAAGCCUGAUCCAGCCAUGCCGCGUGUGUGAAGAAGGCCUUCGGGUUGUAAAGCACUUUCAGUGGGGAAGAAAGCCUUGGGGCUAAUACCCUCGAGGAAGGACAUCACCCACAGAAGAAGCACCGGCUAACUCCGUGCCAGCAGCCUCGGUAAUACGGAGGGUGCGAGCGUUAAUCGGAAUUACUGGGCGUAAAGCGCGCGUAGGCGGUCUGAUAAGCCGGUUGUGAAAGCCCCGGGCUCAACCUGGGAACGGCAUCCGGAACUGUCAGGCUAGAGUGCAGGAGAGGAAGGUAGAAUUCCCGGUGUAGCGGUGAAAUGCGUAGAGAUCGGGAGGAAUACCAGUGGCGAAGGCGGCCUUCUGGACUGACACUGACGCUGAGGUGCGAAAGCGUGGGUAGCAAACAGGAUUAGAUACCCUGGUAGUC